AGGACGAACGCUGGCGGCGUGCUUAACACAUGCAAGUCGAGCGGAAAGGCCCUUCGGGGUACUCGAGCGGCGAACGGGUGAGUAACACGUGAGUAACCUGCCCCAGACUUUGGGAUAACCCUCGGAAACGGGGGCUAAUACCGAAUAUGACUUUAGCCCGCAUGGGUUUUUGUGGAAAGUUUUUCGGUUUGGGAUGGACUCGCGGCCUAUCAGCUUGUUGGUGAGGUAAUGGCUCACCAAGGCGAGGACGGGUAGCC
RNAcentral lists this ribosomal RNA (257 nucleotides) under uncultured bacterium. RNAcentral's name for it is "partial small subunit ribosomal RNA". It matches the Rfam family "Bacterial small subunit ribosomal RNA", at positions 26 to 288 of the family's 1533-position model. The record is from RNAcentral.